GUUGCAAAGAACUUUGAAGAGAGAGUUCAAGAGUACGUGAAACUGCUGAGAGGCAAACUGGUGGGCCCUCGAAAUCCCGUUUGCGGGGAGAUUCAGUCGGGUGUCGGCGGCCGUCUCUGAGUGGGUCUGUCGCAACCGAAGAUCGGGGCACAUUCCCGGAGGCGAGUACCGCUGGAACCCGACGCAUUUCCCGCCCGCACGAAAGGACGCCGCAGCCGGUCGGGUAGCUGCGCGUGUCGGCCAUGAGGACGUUGCGACGGCAGGUGACCGGCGGCCCUAGGCCAUUCUUAAUGGCACUAACGGUCGACGGUUGAUUAGCCGGCUCGUCCGUGGCGCGACACCCGACCGAGGUCGAGAAGAGAAGUCCGUGGAGGAAUCCCGGACGUAUCCACUACUUUCAAACUUAUAGAGCGAGCCGUCGGACAGGCGCGUUCCUGCGUGGUCGGGCAGUCACCGCACUGGUCGAUCUGGUGGGAGCGCGUCGUUGGUUUCCGAGUCAGGAUCUCGCGGAGGAUGGAAGGCUGGCGGCGAGUAGGUCGGUAACCCACCCGACCCGUCUUGAAACACGGACCAAGGAGUCUAACAUGUGCGCGAGUCGCAGGGUCUUGAAUAGGCCCAGAGGCGCAAUGAAAGUGAAGGCUGCCAUCUUMGACGCCCUUCAUCGGGGGAAGAAGUGGUAGGCCCGGUCGGGACUCGCACGUGACACGGCACGUGACGAAGCACCGACGACCCGCCCUGUUCUAUUUCUAAUAGGAACUCAAACGGAGUUUGAGCGCACACGUUGGGACCCGAAAGAUGGUGAACUAUGCCUGGGCAGGACGAAGCCAGAGGAAACUCUGGUGGAGGUCCGCAGCGGUUCUGACGU
RNAcentral lists this ribosomal RNA (865 nucleotides) under Atypoides riversi. RNAcentral describes it as "eukaryotic LSU rRNA". It matches the Rfam family "Eukaryotic large subunit ribosomal RNA", at positions 363 to 892 of the family's 3401-position model. Lineage: Eukaryota; Metazoa; Arthropoda; Arachnida; Araneae; Antrodiaetidae. The record is from RNAcentral.